UUGAACGCUGGCGGCCUGCUUUACCCCUGCCAGUCGAACGGCAGCGCGGGCUUCGGCCUGGCGGCGAGUGGCGAACGGGUGAGUAAUACAUCGGAACGUGCCCAGUAGUGGGGGAUAGCUCGGCGAAAGCCGGAUUAAUACCGCAUACGACCUGAGGGUGAAAGCGGGGGAUCUUCGGACCUCGCGCUAUUGGGGCGGCCGAUGGCAGAUUAGCUAGUUGGUGGGGUAAAGGCCUACCAAGGCGACGAUCUGUAGCUGGUCUGAGAGGACGACCAGCCACACUGGGACUGAGACACGGCCCAGACUCCUACGGGAGGCAGCAGUGGGGAAUUUUGGACAAUGGGCGAAAGCCUGAUCCAGCAAUGCCGCGUGUGUGAUGAAGGCCUUCGGGUUGUAAAGCACUUUUGGCGGGAACGAAAAGGACUGUGCCAAUACCACGGUUCGAUGACGGUACCCGCAGAAUAAGCACCGGCUAACUACGUG
This 483-nucleotide ribosomal RNA is filed under the name uncultured bacterium. RNAcentral's name for it is "partial 16S ribosomal RNA". It matches the Rfam family "Bacterial small subunit ribosomal RNA", at positions 29 to 507 of the family's 1533-position model. The record is from RNAcentral.